CUGAGAUGAUCAUUAAGGCAUUUUUAACACAAUCUCUAAGCCUCAUGUGGUUCCAAUUCACAUUCCUUUCUAUAAUCUGAAUAGCGCAAGUGAGGAGCAUGCCAAUUUUUUGUUGAUGAGAUUAUAUCCUAAAUGCUCACAAAGAAUCAUUUUGAGUUAUUUGGUGAUGUUAAACUUUACUUUUGUUACUUUUGUUACUUAUGACUAAAUAUCUCUUUAUUCCUUUAUCAUGUGGUGGCUUGAAUAAGAAUAACCUCAAGAUGUAAAAAACCUGUUAAAUCUGUUGAUGUUACAAGAAAGUUAUCGUGAUUUAUCUAGUCUAUACCUGUACAUUGUGCACAUGAUAGACCCUUUACCUCCGGAAGUGUUGAUUAUUUACAAUUUACAAAAGGUGUGGUAGGGCAAUCAUUUUUAUGAUGUUGCCCAGCCCGGUUCUAGACAGUAGCUGUGUAGGCAGAUAACGUACUUUUGGGUACAGAUUGCUCUAUAAAGGGUACAAAUAUGUAUCAUGCAAGGUAACAUAAUGUGUAAAAUAUCUCACAAAAUUUAACAUAAACAGUUAAAUGUGGACUUGACAGACCACAAUACAGUUUUCCAAUUUUGGAUGUUCCAAACCUGUUUUUGUUUUUUUAGCAUUUUUUAGGAUUCCUCAAAUUUCCCAGUUUUUUUGUUAUCCAUGACUUUGCUUUUUUGGAAUGUGUGGCAGAGAAUAUUUAGAAUUUAAAAUGAGAGAAUAUUUACCCAAAAAAAUAGUGUUCAUCAGUUUGAAUACACAUUUUUUUGUUGUGUAUUGAACUAAAUAAAAAUGGGAAAGUUGAACACAAUUGCCAGCAAAAUGCCUGGCAAAUGUGUGUUUUUUUUUUUUAACUUAAAUAGCUUACAAUCCAAAUCUACUUGUAGACUUGAGUAAAACGCUUUGAAGAUAAAAGCAGAGAAUUGUGAUUUGUUAUCAUGUAAGAGCUCCACCUUUGGGUUACAUUUGCUGAGCCCCAUUCCUAAAGCAUUACUUCAAUCAUGGUCUGUUUAUGGGAAAGAGUGAGUAGGAUGAAGUCGUGGAUGUUCCAAGAAAGUCGGUAAGAUUUUAUUAUGAUGAGGCGUCACUGAAUUACGACACUAAUACGUCUAAAUAUUUUAAAACAGUUGUGAAACAUGGGUGACUAAUGUAAAAGACAGAUGCCACACAUGAAAUUAAUUUCAAUCACUUAGUAUUUGAGGGGGAGUUUGUGGUGUUGCAACACAAAAAAGGUUGGGAAUUGCGUUUUUGGUUUGUCAUUGUUUUGUCAUCGUGCAUGAAUGGUGACUGGUUUCUUCUCACUGAAAUGGGUU
Long non-coding RNA from Syngnathus acus (greater pipefish), 1326 nucleotides. RefSeq lists it as uncharacterized. The record is from RefSeq and is a predicted model, not a curated record. The transcript is spliced from 2 exons. NCBI's taxonomy places the organism in Eukaryota, Metazoa, Chordata, Actinopteri, Syngnathiformes, Syngnathidae.